This 526-nucleotide ribosomal RNA is filed under the name uncultured bacterium. RNAcentral's name for it is "bacterial SSU rRNA". It matches the Rfam family "Bacterial small subunit ribosomal RNA", at positions 8 to 526 of the family's 1533-position model. The record is from RNAcentral.
AGAGUUUGAUCCUGGCUCAGAUCGAACGCUGGCGGCAGGCCUAACACAUGCAAGUCGAACGGUAGCACAGAGUGCUUGCUCUCGGGUGACGAGUGGCGGACGGGUGAGUAAUGUCUGGGAAACUGCCCGAUGGAGGGGGAUAACUACUGGAAACGGUAGCUAAUACCGCAUAACGUCGCACGACCAAAGAGGGGGACCUUCGGGCCUCUCGCCAUCGGAUGUGCCCAGAUGGGAUUAGCUAGUAGGUGGGGUAACGGCUCACCUAGGCGACGAUCCCUAGCUGGUCUGAGAGGAUGACCAGCCACACUGGAACUGAGGCACGGUCCAGACUCCUACGGGAGGCAGCAGUGGCGAAUAUUGCACAAUGGGCGCAAGCCUGAUGCAGCCAUGCCGCGUGUAUGAAGAAGGCCUUCGGGUGGUAAAGUCUUUCAGCGAGGAGGAAGGCAUUAAGGUUAAUAACCUAGUGAUUUGACGUUACUCGCAGAAGAAGCACCGGCUAACUCCGUGCCAGCAGCCGCGGUAAUAC